CGUCCUUAGUUACCAGCAUUUAGUUGGGUACCCUAAGGAGACUGCCGGUGAUAAGCCGGAGGAAGGUGUGGACGACGUCAAGUCAUCAUGGCCCUUACGGGUUGGGCUACACACGUGCUACAAUGGCAUCUACAGUGAGUUAAUCUCCAAAAGAUGUCUCAGUUCGGAUUGGGGUCUGCAACUCGACCCCAUGAGGUUGGAAUCGCUAGUAAUCGCGGAACAGCAUGCCGCGGUGAAUACGUUC
RNAcentral lists this ribosomal RNA (244 nucleotides) under uncultured Alphaproteobacteria bacterium. RNAcentral describes it as "partial 16S small subunit ribosomal RNA". It matches the Rfam family "Bacterial small subunit ribosomal RNA", at positions 1106 to 1373 of the family's 1533-position model. Lineage: Bacteria; Pseudomonadati; Pseudomonadota; Alphaproteobacteria. The record is from RNAcentral.